ACCCGCCGGGGGGACACGCCUAAACUCUUGUCAACCGUGCCGUCUGAGAAAAAACAUAAUAAUUUAAAACUUUCAACAACGGAUCUCUUGGUUCUGGCAUCGAUGAAGAACGCAGCGAAAUGCGAUAAGUAACGUGAAUUGCAGAAUUCAGUGAAUCAUCGAAUCUUUGAACGCACAUUGCGCCCUUUGGUAUUCCGAAGGGCAUGCCUGUUCGAGCGUCAUUUCAAACCUCAAGCUUCUGCUUGGUAUUGGGCGUCGUCCGUCUAGGACGUGCCAGAAACACGUGGGCGGUGGUGCCGGUCUCCCAGCGUAGUCAAAUCUAUCCGCUCCGGAGUGCAGGUGCCGCCCGCCAGAUAAGCUUAAAUCUAUCUAUGGUUUGACCUCGGAUCAGGUAG
RNAcentral lists this ribosomal RNA (395 nucleotides) under uncultured fungus. RNAcentral describes it as "eukaryotic LSU rRNA". The stretch from base 68 to 221 matches the Rfam family "5.8S ribosomal RNA". Lineage: Eukaryota; Fungi. The record is from RNAcentral.